GGGAAUCGAACAACAAAUCCAAUCCUCAUGGAUUUCACAACAUCUGCAUAACUUGCAUUUUCUAGCGGCCCUGGACUGUCCCAAGGCCGAGGAAUUCUAGCCAAGUACCCACAAGAAAGCUCGAGAUACUCCAUUGAAUAAGAUCCAUAACCAGUUAACACAUAAACAUAAGUAUGAUUUGUGCUAAGGCAAGCAACAGACAUGUACAUACCAUUGUCCUUUACUUCCCGAGAGCAUGUAAGAAAGCAAGCCUUAUUAUAUUAAAGGGGUUCCAAUUCGACUUCCAUGUGGUUCUGGUAUCUAAACGGAGGCCGAUUCCACCGAGGUAGAGGGCAGCUGUUGUAUAAAUCCAUGUCGGCAUCGACGACCCAGAAGGAAGAACUACUGUAGUUGAUGGAAGAUACAUAGUAUGUUGCAUCGUCGAUGUGAAUUGAAGCCUUCGUACCACUGCAAAUUAGCUCGUAAGAUGGAUGACCACACCCAGGUGGAUCACUUGCCUGAUGAAAUGGAGAUGACACAUUUUUGAGAGGGCCACACGAGAAAGAAGGACAAUCAGGCAAAUGAUGCCGCCCUUCGACCUGAUCUGCAGCAAGAACUACAAGCACAGACAAGAUAGUUAAGAUCUUGAGAGCAGUGCGCAUUGCCAUGGCAGACACACAGACGAGUAGAGAUGAAUGCCGAAUAAGUGAGUGGCUGCCAAAAUAAAAAAAGAACUCCAAAGAAUGGACAUCACAAGCCAACUAGUGCCUCUACAUGAACGUGAUGUUUCUGGCUAGGAGACUUGGCUACUAGCUACCAACUGAAGUUGGGUGCAUACCACCUACUGGCUCGUCUAAGUGAUGGUGAUGUUCUUGACCGGUGACCUCUUGUUGGUUUACAGAAGAGUCCUGUACUCGUCCAUUCCUCUCCUAGUCAAAUUAACAUGGAAUUCAGUGCCUUGAGAAAAUGACAAAUAACAGGGAUCAUAAAAUGGAUAAUAAGAAAAUAUCAUUCAUUGGAGAUAUUUUUUUUGAAGGCAACCGCAAUUCUCAUUAACUAUUACGGCAUGAGGGCAAAUCCCCCUCAACACAAAUUGCCACUUGGGCAUGAACAAUGUUUCCCCACUCCUCAAAGUGGUUCGGUAAAUACGUACGACCCGUACAUGCUAGUUGAUGGGCAACACUAUUAGCGUCUCGCCGGCAAAGGGAGAUCUUCUGUUGGGAAAACCAGAUCUUCAGUUGGUGUUGGGGAUAUUACCUAUUGAUAACCCGCCCUGGUUGGGCCGGGUCACCAAAUCAGGCGAUUCAUCGAAGCGUGGUUCGGGCCUUGGCCUGGCAAGACCAAAGGUUGUAUGCCGGUUUACAACUUCCGAAAGGUUUCCAAGCUUUGGAAGAUGGCGACUUAGAGAUCGUAAGGGUCACGGUUUGUAGAAAGGAAAGUACCCUUGUGAACCCUAGGGACUCGACCUGUAUAUAAAGGCGAGUCCCAGGGAAGAAGAGGGCAGGUUAGAAAUCAUCGAUUGCUAGGUCUGGCGAGUUACGCCCUCUUUGUAAUCGAAACUCCAUCAAUACAACUCAAAGCAGGACGUAUGACUUUACCUCCUCACGAGGGGCCGAACCUGGGUAAAUCGUCGUCUCUCUCCCGUUCAACCCCUUUGAGUCGCNNNNNNNNNNNNNNNNNNNNNNNNNNNNNNNNNNNNNNNNNNNNNNNNNNNNNNNNNNNNNNNNNNNNNNNNNNNNNNNNNNNNNNNNNNNNNNNNNNNNACAUCAACCGCGUUCACUAACGCUUCUGCUGUACGAUCUACAAGGGUACGUAGAUCACUCAUCCCCUCUCGUAGAUGGACAUCACCAUGAUAGGUCUUCGUGCGCGUAGGAAAAUUUUUGUUUCCCAUGCGACGUUCCCCAACAGUGGCAUCAUGAGCUGGGUUCAUGCGUAGAUGUCUUCUCAAGUAGAACACAAAAGUUUUUGUGGGCGGUGAUGUGCGUUUUGCUGCCCUCCUUAGUCUUUUCUUGAUUCCGCGGCAUUGUUGGAUCGAAGCGGCUCGGACCGACAUUACUCGUACGCUUACGAGAGACUGGUUUCAUCGCUACGAGUAACUCCGUUGCUCAAAGAUGACUCGCGGGUGUCAGUUUCUCCAACUUUAGUUGAAUCGGAAUUGACCGUGGAGGUCCUUGGAUGAGGUUAAAUAGCAACUCAUAUAUCUCCGUUGUGGUGUUUGCGUAAGUAAGAUGCGAUCCUACUAGAUACCCAUGGUCACCACGUAAAACAUGCAACAACAAAAUUACAGGACGUCUAACUUGUUUUUGCAGGGUAUGCUUGUGAUGUGAUAUGGCCAACGAUGUGAUGUGAUAUAUUGGAUGUAUGAGAUGAUCAUGUUGUAAUAGUUAAUAUCGACUUGCACGUCGAUGGUACGGCAACCGGCAGGAGCCAUAGGGUUGUCUUUAAACUAACGUUUGUGCUUGCAGAUGCGUUUACUAUUUUGCUAGGAUGUAGCUUUAGUAGUAAUACCAUGAGUAGCACGACAACCCCGAUGGCGACACGUUGAUGGAGAUCAUGAUGAUGGAGAUCAUGGUGUGACGCCGGUGACAAGAAGAUCGUGCCGGUGCUUUGGUGAUGGAGAUCAAGAAGCACAUGAUGAUGGCCAUAUCAUGUCACUUAUGAAUUGCAUGUGAUGUAAAUCCUUUUAUGCACCUUAUUUUGCUUAGAACGACGGUAGCAUUAUGAGGUGAUCUCUCACUAAAAUUUCAAGACGAAAUUGUGUUCUCCCCGACUGUGCACCGUUGCUACAGUUCGUCGUUUCGAGACACCACGUGAUGAUCGGGUGUGAUAGACUCAACGUUUACAUACAACGGGUGCAAAACAGUUGCGCACGCGGAACACUCGGGUUAAGCUUGACGAGCCUAGCAUGUGCAGACAUGGCCUCGGAACACAUGAGACCGAAAGGUCGAUCAUGAAUCAUAUAGAUGAUAUGAUUAGCAUAGGGAUGCUUACCACUGAAACUAUACUCAACUCACGUGAUGAUCGGACUUGAGCUAGUGUAAGUGGAUCAUGAACCACUCAAAUGACUAGAGAGAUGUACUUUUUGAGUGGGAGUUUAGCGAAUAAUUUGAUUAAGUUAAACUCUAAUUAUCUUGAUCAUAGUCUAAGUCCACUUUGAAUAUAUUUGUGUUGUAGAUCAUGGCUCACGCUACAGUCAUCCUGAAUUUUAAUACGUUCCUAGAGAAAGCUAAGUUGAAAGAUGAUGGAAGCAACUUUGUAGACUGGGCUCGUAAUCUUAAGCUAAUCUUACAAGCUGGGAAGAAGGAUUAUGUCCUUAAUGUUGCGCUAGGAGAUGAACCACCCGCUACGGCUGAUCAGGAUGUUAAGAACGCUUGGUUGGCACGUAAGGAGGACUACUCAAUAGUUCAAUGUGCAGUCUUGUAUGGCUUAGAACCGGGACUUCAACGUCGCUUUGAGCGUCAUGGAACAUUUGAGAUGUUCCAGGAGUUGAAGUUUAUCUUUCAGAAGAACGCCCGGGUCGAGAGGUAUGAAACCUCCGAUAAAUUCUAUGCUUGCAAGAUGGAGGAGAACUCGUCUGUCAGUGAACAUGUGCUCAAAAUGUCUGGAUACUCAAACCGUCUAGCUGAGCUGGGUAUUGAACUCCCGCAAGAGGCUAUCAUUGACAGAAUCCUUCAAUCACUGCCGCCAAGCUAUAAAGGCUUUGUGUUGAACUACAACAUGCAAGGGAUGAACAAGUCUCUCGGCGAGUUGUUUGCGAUGCUGAAAGUCGCAGAGUCUGAACUCCAUAAAGAGCAUCAAGUGUUGAUGGUGAAUAAGACCACUAGUUUCAAGAGAAACGGCAAAGGCAAGAAGGGUAAUUCAAAGAAGAGCGGCAAGCCUGUUGCCAAUCCGACGAAGAAACCCAAAGCUGGACCUAAGCCUGAAACGGAGUGUUACUAUUGCAAGGGUAUGGGUCACUGGAAGCGCAAUUGCCCCAAGUAUCUGGCAGAUAAGAAGGCGGCCAAAGAAAAAUCAGGUAUAUUUGAUAUACAUGUUAUUGAUGUGUACUUAACCGGCUCUCGUAGUAGUGCCUGGGUAUUCGAUACCGGUUCUAUUGCUCAUAUUUGCAACUCGAAACAGGAACUGCGGAAUAGACGAAGGCUGGCAAAGGAUGAAGUGACGAUGCGCGUAGGAAAUGGUUCCAAGGUUGAUGCAAUCGCCGUCGGCACAGUUUCACUUCAGUUGCCAUCAGGAUUAGUGAUGAACUUAAAUCAUUGUUAUUUAGUGUCUGCGUUGAGCAUGAACAUUAUAUCUGGAUCUUGUUUAUUGCGAGACGGUUACUCUUUUAAGUCAGAGAAUAAUGGUUGUUCUAUUUCUAUGAGUAACAUCUUUUAUGGUCAUGCACCUAAUGUGAGAGGAUUGUUCAUAUUGAAUCUUGAUAGCGAUACGCAUAUACAUAACAUUGAGACCAAAAGAGUUAGAGUUAACAAUGAUAGCGCCAUAUUUUUGUGGCACUGCCGCUUAGGUCAUAUUGGUGUAAAGCGCAUGAAGAAACUCCAUGCUGAUGGACUUUUGGAGUCACUUGACUUUGAUUCACUUGACACGUGCGAACCAUGCCUCAUGGGCAAGAUGACUAAGACUCCGUUCUCCGGAACAAUGGAGCGUGCAAGUGACUUGUUGGAAAUCAUACAUACCGAUGUGUGUGGUCCGAUGAGCGUGGAGGCACGCGGCGGAUAUCGUUAUUUUCUCACCUUCACUGACGAUUUGAGUAGAUAUGGUUAUGUCUACUUGAUGAAGCACAAGUCUGAAACAUUUGAAAGGUUCAAGCAAUUUCAGAGUGAAGUUGAAAAUCAUCGUAACAAGAAGAUCAAGUUCCUACGGUCUGAUCGUGGGGGUGACUAUCUGAGUUUCGAGUUUGGUGCUCACUUAAGACAAUGUGGAAUUGUUUCACAGUUAACACCGCCUGGAACACCACAGCGUAAUGGUGUGUCCGAACGUCGUAAUCGUACUUUAUUAGAGAUGGUGCGAUCUAUGAUGUCUCUUACCGAUUUGCCGUUAUCGUUUUGGGGUUAUGCAUUAGAAACAGCUGCAUUCACUUUAAAUAGGGCACCAUCAAAAUCCGUUGAGACGACACCAUACGAACUGUGGUAUGGCAAAAGGCCAAAGUUGUCGUUUCUUAAAGUUUGGGGAUGUGAUGCUUAUGUCAAAAAGCUUCAGCCUGAAAAGCUGGAACCCAAAGCGGAAAAGUGCGUCUUCAUAGGUUACCCAAAAGAGACAGUUGGGUACACCUUCUAUCUCAAAUCCGAGGGCAAAGUGUUUGUUGCUAAAAACGGAGCUUUUCUCGAGAAGGAGUUUCUCUCGAGAGAAUUGAGUGGGAGGAAGAUAGAACUUGACGAGGUUGUCGAACCUCUCAUCCCUCUGGAUGGUGGCGCAGGGCAAGGGGAAACCUCUGUCGUUGCGACGCCGGUUGAAGAGGAAGUUAAUGAUGAUGAUCAUGAAACUCCGGUUCAAGUUUCUGUCAAACCACGCAGGUCGACGAGACCACGUGCUGCUCCAGAGUGGUACGGUAAUCCUGUCUUAUCAAUCAUGUUGUUAGACAACAAUGAACCUGCAAAUUAUGAAGAAGCAAUGGUGGGCCCAGAUUCCAACAAAUGGCUAGAAGCCAUGAAGUCCGAGAUAGGAUCCAUGUAUGAGAACAAAGUGUGGACUUUGGAGGUACUACCUGAGGGCCGCAAGGCUAUUCAGAACAAAUGGAUUUUUAAGAGGAAGACGGACGCUGACGGCAAUGUGACCGUUUAUAAAGCUCGACUUGUGGCAAAGGGUUUUUCACAAGUUCAAGGAGUUGACUACGAUGAGACAUUCUCACCCGUAGCGAUGCUUAAGUCCGUCAGAAUCAUGUUAGCAAUAGCUGCAUUUUUCGAUUAUGAAAUCUGGCAGAUGGAUGUCAAAACGGCGUUCCUUAACGGUUUCCUUAAGGAAGAGUUGUAUAUGAUACAACCCGAAGGUUUUGUCGAUCAUAAGAAUGCUAACAAGGUGUGCAAGCUCCAGCGAUCCAUUUAUGGACUGGUGCAAGCAUCUCGGAGUUGGAACAAACGCUUUGAUGAGGUGAUCAAAGCAUUUGGGUUUAUACAAGUGGUUGGAGAAUCUUGUAUUUACAAGAAAGUGAGUGGGAGCUCUGUGGCGUUUCUAAUAUUAUAUGUGGAUGACAUAUUGCUGAUUGGAAACAACGUGGAGUUUUUAGAGAGCAUAAAGGAUUACUUGAAUAUGAGUUUCUCUAUGAAGGACCUAGGAGAAGCUGCUUACAUUCUAGGCAUUAAGAUCUAUAGGGAUAGAUCAAAACGCCUGAUAGGACUUUCACAAAGCACAUACCUUGAUAAAGUUUUGAAGAGGUUCAAAGUGGAACAGUCCAAGAAAGGGUUCUUGCCAGUUUUACAAGGUACGAGAUUGAGUAAGACUCAGUGCCCAGCAACUGAUGAAGAUAGAGAGCAUAUGCGCUCCGUCCCCUAUGCUUCAGCCAUAGGUUCUAUCAUGUAUGCAAUGUUGUGCACAAGACCGGAUGUUAGCCUGGCCAUAAGUAUGGCAGGUAGGUUCUAGAGUAAUCCAGGAGUGGAUCACUGGACAGCGGUCAAGAAUAUCCUGAAGUACCUGAAAAGGACUAAGGAUAUGUUUCUCGUGUAUGGAGGUGACGAAGAGCUCGCCGUAAAAGGUUACGUCGAUGCAAGCUUUGACACAGAUCCGGACGACUCUAAGUCGCAAACCGGAUACGUAUUUAUUUUUAAUGGGGGUGCGGUAAGCUGGUGCAGUUCCAAGCAAAGCGUCGUAGCAGAUUCUACAUGUGAAGCGGAGUACAUGGCUGCCUCGGAGGCGGCUAAGGAGGGUGUCUGGAUGAAGCAGUUCAUGAGGAUCUUGGAGUGGUACCAAGCGCACUGAAUCCAAUAACCUUGUUCUGUGACAACACGGGUGCCAUUGCCUUAGCAAAGGAACCACGGUUUCACAAGAAGACCAGACACAUCAAACGACGCUUCAACCUCAUCCGCGACUACGUCGAGGGAGAAGACGUAAAUAUAUGCAAAGUGCACACGGAUCUGAAUGUAGCAGACCCGCUGACUAAACCUCUUCCACGGCCAAAGCAUGAUCAACACCAGAACUGUAUGGGUGUUAGAUUUAUUACAAUGUAAUUCACAUGAUGAUGUGAGGGCUAGAUUAUUGACUCUAGUGCAAGUGGGAGACUGUUGGAGUUAUGCCCUAGAGGCAAUAAUAAAUAUAGUUAUUAUUAUAAUUCCUGUAUCAAGAUAAUCGUUUAUUAUCCAUGCUAUAAUUGUAUUGAAUGAAGACUCAUUUACAUGUGUGGAUACAUAGACAAAACACCGUCCCUAGCAAGCCUCUAGUUGGCUAGCGAGUUGAUCAAAGAUAGUCAGUGUCUUCUGAUUAUGAACAAAGUGUUGUUGCUUGAUAACUGGAUCACGUCAUUAGGAGAAUCACGUGAUGGACUAGACCCAAACUAAUAGACGUAGCAUGUUGAUCGUGUCAUUUUGUUGCUACUGUUUUCUGCGUGUCAAGUAUUUAUUCCUAUGACCAUGAGAUCAUAUAACUCACUGACACCGGAGGAAUGCUUUGCGUGCAUCAAACGUCGCAACGUAACUGGGUGACUAUAAAGAUGCUCUACAGGUAUCUCCGAAGGUGUUCGUUGAGUUAGUAUGGAUCAAGACUGGGAUUUGUCACUCCGUGUGACGGAGAGGUAUCUCGGGGCCCACUCGGUAAUACAACAUCACACUCAAGCCUUGCAAGCAAUGUAACUUAGUGUAAGUUGGGGGAUCUUGUAUUGCGGAACGAGUAAAGAGACUUGCCGGUAAACGAGAUUGAAAUAGGUAUGCGGAUACUGACGAUCGAAUCUCGGGCAAGUAACAUACCGAAGGACAAAGGGAAUGACAUACGGGAUUAUAUGAAUCCUUGCCACUGAGGUUCAAACGAUAAGAUCUUCGUAGAAUAUGUAGGAUCCAAUAUGGGCAUCCAGGUCCCGCUAUUGGAUAUUGACCGAGGAGUCUCUCGGGUCAUGUCUACAUAGUUCUCGAACCCGCAGGGUCUGCACACUUAAGGUUCGACGUUGUUUUAUGCGUAUUUGAGUUAUAUGGUUGGUUACCGAAUGUUGUUCGGAGUCCCGGAUGAGAUCACGGACGUCACGAGGGUUUCCGAAAUGGUCCGGAAACGAAGAUUGAUAUAUAGGAUGACCUCAUUUGAUUACCGGAAGGUUUUCGGAGUUACCGGGAAUGUACCGGGAAUGACGAAUGGGUUCCGGGAGUUCACCGAGGGGGACAACCCACCCUGGGGAAGCCCAUAGACCUUGAGGGUGGCACACCAUCCCUUAGUGGGCUGGUGGGACAGCCCAAAAGGGCCCUAUGCGCCUAGGAAAGAAAAUCAAAGAGAAAAGAAAAGAAAAAAGGAGGUGGGAAGGGAAGGAAGGACUCCCACCCACCAAACCAAGUCCAACUCGGUUUGGGGGGGAGCCUUCCCCCUUGGACUCGGCCGACCCCCUUGGGGCUCCUUGAGCCCGAAGGCAAGGUCCCCUCCCUCCCACCUAUAUAUACGGAGGUUUUAGGGCUUAUUUGGGACGACUUUUCCACGGCAGCCCGACCACAUACCUCCACGGUUUUUCCUCUAGAUCGCGUUUCUGCAGAGCUCGGGCGGAGCCCUGCUGAGACAAGGUCAUCACCAACCUCCGGAGCGCCGUCACGCUGCCGGAGAACUCUUCUACCUCUCCGUCUCUCUUGCUGGAUCAAGAAGGCCGAGAUCAUCGUCGAGCUGUACGUGUGCUGAACGCGGAGGUGCCGUCCGUUCGGUACUAGAUCGUGGGACUGAUCGCGGGAUUGUUCGCGGGGCGGAUCGAGGGACGUGAGGACGUUCCACUACAUCAACCGCGUUCACUAACGCUUCUGCUGUACGAUCUACAAGGGUACGUAGAUCAGUCAUCCCCUCUCGUAGAUGGACAUCACCAUGAUAGGUCUUCGUGCGCGUAGGAAAAUUUUUGUUUCCCAUGCGACGUUCCCCAACAAUUUUAACAUCAAUUCACCGUAAUUUUACGUUUCAUAAUUUUUGUCUUAUUUUAUACGUAAAAAGAGACCAUAAAAUAAUAUAAUCAAUGUAAAAAAAAUUAUGUCACAUAAAACUACGUACAUACAAAACUAGUGCAAAAAAUACAAUAAAUUCAAUUUUUUCUGGUCUUGUGAUCUAUAUUUUUGUUUUCCUUUUAUCAAAUUUUACGUAGUGAUUCAAUAUAAAUGUAACUAUUUGUAUUUAAAAUUUAAUUUAUUUGUAAAUUGAUCGUAAGAUUAUCUCGGGUGAAGAAUAAACUAUUCUGCGUCCUGGGUGAUGAAUAGAGUUUCUAUAUAUAUAUAUAUAUAUAUAUAUAUAUGACAAAUUAUAUCUGNNNNNNNNNNNNNNNNNNNNNNNNNNNNNNNNNNNNNNNNNNNNNNNNNNNNNNNNNNNNNNNNNNNNNNNNNNNNNNNNNNNNNNNNNNNNNNNNNNNNGAAUUCUAGCCAAGUAACCACAAGAAAGCUCGAGAUACUCCAUUGAAUAAGAUCCAUAACCAGUUAACACAUAAAAUAAGUAUGAUUUGUGCUAAGGCAAGCAACAGGCAUGUACAUACCAUUGUCCUUUACUUCCCGAGAGCAUGUAAGAAAGCAAGCCUUAUUAUAUGAAAGGGGUUCCAAUUCGACUUCCAUGUGGUUCUGGUAUCUGAACGGAGGCCGAUUCCACCGAGGUAGAGGGCAGCUGUUGUAUAAAUCCAUGUCGGCAUCGACGACCCAGAAGGAAGAACUACUGUAGUUGAUGGAAGAUACAUAGUAUGUUGCAUCGUCGAUGUGAAUUGAAGCCUUCGUACCACUGCAAAUUAGCUCGUAAGAUGGAUAACCACACCCAGGUGGAUCACUUGCCUGACGAAAUGGAGAUGACACAUUUCUGAGAGGGCCACACGAGAAAGAAGGACAAUCAGGCAAAUGAUGCCGCCCUUCGACCUGAUCUGCAGCAAGAACUACAAGCACAGACGAGAUAGUUAAGAUCUUGAGAGCAGUGCGCAUUGCCAUGGCAGACACACAGACGAGUAGAGAUGAAUGGCCGAAUAAGUGAGUGGCUGCCAAAAUAAA
RNAcentral lists this long non-coding RNA (10097 nucleotides) under Hordeum vulgare. Its description in RNAcentral is "long non-coding RNA (HVUL_LNC006170)". The record is from RNAcentral. Lineage: Eukaryota; Viridiplantae; Streptophyta; Magnoliopsida; Poales; Poaceae.